UAAGAACAUUACAUGAAAAGGGGAACAAGUCUUCAACAUGAUUCAUGGGAAUGCAAAAUAUAUUCCUAAGUUUUUACAUAGCUAAAAUCAUCUAUGAUCAUCAAAACCUAUAUAUAUCAGUUGUAACUAUCCAUAAUCAACUAUCCACACCAAAGUAACAAAAGGUGAAUCAGAAAGGUGUCUUGGUUACUAGCGGCCACAGCAAAA
Molecule: unclassified non-coding RNA, 207 nt
Filed under: Hevea brasiliensis (rubber tree)
Lineage: Eukaryota; Viridiplantae; Streptophyta; Magnoliopsida; Malpighiales; Euphorbiaceae
Source: RNAcentral